Molecule: small RNA, 171 nt
Filed under: Firmicutes bacterium CAG:882
Lineage: Bacteria; Bacillati; Bacillota
Description: Clostridiales-1 RNA
Rfam family: Clostridiales-1 RNA
Source: Rfam by way of RNAcentral
UAAUAAUUCCAUCAAUAGAUAUAGUGCGUGGCUGCUUGCAGACAAAGCACUAUAUCUAUUGGAUGGAUAAACAGGCAUGAGCAAGUAAUGGUUCUGCGAAGCUGAACCUAUGAAUUGCGAAUGACUGUUGUGAUUUCGACAGUUCGCAGAACGGAGAAAUCACUAUUAUUA